AGUGAUUCUACUUUCAAUACGAAUUUGGACAGUUUAGGUUCUAACAAGAGUGAUGUGGCUGGGAAUUCAGGGGCAAUGUUGAACAAUAAAAAUGGAGAAUCGUUUGAGAGUGUGGAGGGAAUGGGAGGCUGUAGAAUUGGAAAAAAUGGUAAAGAUGGUUUUGUUUUUGGUGCUAGGAAGAUUGAUUCUGAUUUGGAUUCAUGUUUGGGGAAUUUAGGUUUUGCUUUCGGAGCUAGUAAUACUAGUAGCUUCAAGUUUAGCUCGAAGAGCAAGCACGGUGAUUGGACAAAUAAGAGCAGCUCAGCAUCCUAUCUGAAUGUGUCUAAUAAGGAGCCUGAAUGUAG
Molecule: unclassified non-coding RNA, 344 nt
Filed under: Hevea brasiliensis (rubber tree)
Lineage: Eukaryota; Viridiplantae; Streptophyta; Magnoliopsida; Malpighiales; Euphorbiaceae
Source: RNAcentral